UUUGUACAUGUAGAGAGCUAGCUACGUCACAUGCUUACAUAGAUGUUGCAGAUUACCGGUGUUGGUUUUGACUCUAACUCAGACUGUUGGAAUAGAGUUCACUCAAGUGAUGGUGCACUAGCAUGUCUAGACAUCGGGUUGUUCAGACACCGCCGUAAGCAUUAUUGCUUGGUAUUAACAGCUUGGCAUGGGUGUCACUCAAGGCAAUGGAUACCUGUUGCUGAAAAUGUGCAAAGAGACUUUUGAAGGGGCUAGUGGAAUUAUUGAAAGCAAACGUUGAAGCUGAGAAAACCAAUUGUUGGAAAUGUGCAAAUAGAUUGAAGUUUAUGAAAGAAAAAAAGGUUGAACUUGACGCUAUAUGAGAAGAUAUUGACAGCCAACGACAAAGCUUGGAAGCGAGGUUAUGAAGCAACUACCAACCGAAAAUCAAGACAAGUAGAAUGUUUAUUCUACUUGACACAUUGUGUUAACUAUAUUGUUAUUUGAGUCUGGACAAGUGUGUUUAAGUACACUAUUUGACUAUCAAUGAUUAUUGUUUCGGUGCGAUUGGGUGCAUAUUGAUUAAUAGCAAUUGAAUUUACGUUA
Long non-coding RNA from Helianthus annuus (common sunflower), 585 nucleotides. RefSeq lists it as uncharacterized. NCBI's taxonomy places the organism in Eukaryota, Viridiplantae, Streptophyta, Magnoliopsida, Asterales, Asteraceae. The transcript has 2 exons. The record is from RefSeq and is a predicted model, not a curated record.